RNAcentral lists this ribosomal RNA (366 nucleotides) under Lottia cf. borealis 10_KurGor. RNAcentral describes it as "partial small subunit ribosomal RNA". It matches the Rfam family "Microsporidia small subunit ribosomal RNA", at positions 796 to 1208 of the family's 1311-position model. The record is from RNAcentral. Lineage: Eukaryota; Metazoa; Mollusca; Gastropoda; Lottiidae.
CACUAAUCCCCCCAGGGGAACCUGGCCCUUAAUUCGAUGAUCCACGAACCUCUUACCUUUUCUAGUUUUGCUUAUCUUUGCAAGAAGUAAACAAAGAUCAGCUCGCAUACCGCCGUUUCGUAGCUUGUAUCGUGAGAGGACAUAAACAGGCGCCCUAGUGGCCCGUAUAAAAAUAAAUAAGGGUUUCUCUAAUAAUUCAGGUAAACGUGUGCGGCCUAUGGAAAGGGGGUGCUGGGUUACAAUUGGGGUUUAUAAUGGCGUGGCUGCCUUAAGGGCAAGACAAAAGAGGACUUGGAAGUAAUAGCCUUGGACAAUGAGGCUGUGAAUACUGCUCUAGUGUGUGUACAAAUCGCCCGUCACUCUCUG